CGGUUGAUCCUGCCGGACCCUACUGCUAUCGGGGUGGGACUAAGACAUGCGAGUUGAGCGUCUCUAAGCUAUGGUAGAGACGCAGCGUACGGCUCAGUAACACGUGGCUAACCUACCCUUAGGACGGGGACAACCCCGGGAAACUGGGGCUAAUACCCGAUAGGCGAGGAGGCCUGGAAUGGUUCCUAGUCGAAAAGGCGUUGAAACCAUGCUUUUCGACGUCGCCUAAGGAUGGGGCCGCGCCCGAUCAGGUUGUUGGUGGGGUAACGGCUCACCAAGCCUAUAACCGGUACGGGCCGUGAGAGCGGGAGCCCGGAGAUGGGCACUGAGAUAAGGGCCCAGGCCCUACGGGGCGCAGCAGUCGCGAAAACUCCGCAAUGCGCGAAAGCGUGACGGGGCUACCCCGAGUGCCGUCCGCUGAGGAUGGCUUUUCCCCGGUGUAAUGAGCCGGGGGAAUAAGGAGAGGGCAAGUCUGGUGUCAGCCGCCGCGGUAAUACCAGCUCUCCGAGUGGUAGGGAUGAUUAUUGGGCUUAAAGCGUCCGUAGCCGGCUUAGCAAGUCUCCUGUUAAAUUCAGCGACCUAAUCGUUGAGCCGCGGGAGAUACUACUAGGCUAGGAGGCGGGAGAGGCCGACGGUAUUCUCGGGGUAGGGGUGAAAUCCUAUAAUCCCGGGAGGACCACCAGUGGCGAAGGCUGUCGGCUAGAACGCGCUCGACGGUGAGGGACGAAAGCUGGGGGAGCGAACCGGAUUAGAUACCCGGGUAGUCCCAGCUGUAAACGAUGCGGGCUAGGUGUUGGGGUGGCUACGAGCCACUUCAGUGCCGCAGGGAAGCCAUUAAGCCCGCCGCCUGGGGAGUACGGCCGCAAGGCUGAAACUUAAAGGAAUUGGCGGGGGAGCAC
Molecule: ribosomal RNA, 899 nt
Filed under: uncultured archaeon
Lineage: Archaea
Description: bacterial SSU rRNA
Rfam family: Archaeal small subunit ribosomal RNA
Source: RNAcentral